AGGGGGUUAGCUUAAAAUAAAGCAAGGUACUGAAGCUGCUUGAGACGGGCUAGAACCCACCCCCUA
Molecule: transfer RNA, 66 nt
Filed under: Laemobothrion atrum
Lineage: Eukaryota; Metazoa; Arthropoda; Insecta; Psocodea; Laemobothriidae
Description: tRNA-Phe
Source: RNAcentral